AAAGGAACACAAAAUAUUCGUAUCUACUAACUGCAACUAAUUCUUUUUAAAAAUAAAAAAUAAAAUUCUACACAACCAUAAGAACUCUAGCCAUUUUAUAGAUGUAUAGGGGAGAAAGUGCCACCAACCCAGUUAUAGAAUUAUAGAGUCAUAUUUUUAGAAUUCAUCAAAAUGACGCAACGAUCUAUUAAUCUAUGCUACGAUUAUAUUAAAAUUGGCACAACAAAGUAAUGCAUGCCUAUCCAAAAUAUGGCUGUAUAUUCCCGUGUCUGUUUAUGAUCAAUACCCUUAUACUUUUCUUAUUUAAUGAAUGAUACACAUUUCUGAUUUCUUCCUCAUACCUAAACCAAAAAAAAAAAAGAUGUAGAAUGGCAGAAACAAAUAUGAAAAAAGCACAUUAAUUGUUUUUCAUAAUUACACAAUUAAAGAAUUAAUCUGACUGCUAGCUCCUUAAUUCUGAAACUUCAACGUUGAAAAUUAAUAUAUCAUACUACUAGCCAGCUGGCUAGCAUGAAUUGAUCAGGGGCAUUGCGGAUUUCUUCCAGGGCCUCCAUAGUAAAAAUGUGUCCCCCAUUCAUUGUUAUAGGAGUUUUUGAUGUUGUAACAAUUUGUGUUCUCAGCUAGAAUUGAAAUGUCUCGUACUGAGCUGAGGCUGUUAUCGGAAUCAACAAUUUCCAGGUUCCUGAAAUAGCUUGCUUUUCCAAACCCAUCUUCAGCAAAAUGGCCUGAACCCAUUUGGGUCGAUGUGUGCUCACCGUUGGCCCUUGAGUUCACCACUUCGCCUCCCCACUCCACCAUCGUCGCAUGGUCUGCUAAGUGUGUGAAUAGCUCCGCUGGCCAGUACCCGACUAGCAAGUUUUCACCAAAUCCCAUCCACCAAUUCCCCAGUUUUGGAUCCUAAUAAUCACACCAAGACACAUUGAAUUACACGUGAUUUGCGAAUGUCCGCAUUUUUUUAAAUGCGAACCAACAAUUCUGUGUAUAGAGAAUCCAUAAAAGAUCAAACACAAAUUAUUUGAUUUCAGUGGAGCAACAAUAUUUCUAUGUAGAUACGAGUUUCGUUUGCAAGACGUUGAAAAAUCUUUAUGAUGUCAAUUAAUUAGUGUAUUUUAUCUGCUGUACGGCCAAGGCGGAUGUACGGUACAGCAGUGAGGACCACUAUUCUUAGUGUGUUGUUUUUUAUUAUGCGGGGGUGCAAGCGUUUCAGCCACUCCAUCUCUACACAGUACACCUUUACAAUUUCCCAAGUUUGAGACAACAACAUCCUCUCCAUCAAUAAAGGCUGUGACACAGAAGGCACCACAUUCUGGACCCUUUUCCACACGCUUAUCCAGCAUAUCCUUGAAACAAAAUAUUAAGAAACGAACAAUAACGAUAUAUAUUUAGACAGAAAAACAGAACGUUGACAAAUUAAAACUGGUCUGAAAAUUUUCAGUUAUUGAGCCAAUUUUUUUUUUUUUUUUGCUUAAUCUAAAAAGACUGAAUGAUAUCAUUAAAAGAUAUUCUCAAAAAUUUUCUUAUUUAACUAAUUAAUUUCCAUCCUUAUCUAAAUAAAAUUUAACAAUUAGCAUUAUUACCCAUAUUUAUAACUUGUGAAAAUAUAAUAGUAUACUAUUAUUAUUUUUAUCCUUUUAUUUUUCUUCAAAGUAGUAUUAUUUAUCUUCACAAUUUUUUAUGAAUAUUUUUCAUAUAAAAAUAUCAUAAACUAUACUAAUUUAGAAUACAAAGGGUUGCAUUCAAUUGAACAUUAUUUAUAUUAUGAUAAUAUAUUAUCUUAUUUAAGUUCUUAGAAAUGCUUCUUAUUUGUUUAACAUUUCUGCUGUACCGUACAUCCGCCUUGGCCGUACAGCAGUAAUUAAAAAAAUAUUGUAGCCGUUAGCUACAAAAAUAAUCAGAUUUAAUCUAAUUAUUUUGGCAUUUUUUAGGGUGAAUUUGUAAUUUUUGUUUGAUGAAGUACAAAAAAAUCUUAACUACUAGAGAUUAUAACUCAAUGAAUAAUAAAACUCUACUUAUCUUAAAUUCAAUUGAUGGUUUGCGAGAUUGGGCUAUUUCUAAUACUACUGUUAUAAUUUAGCAUUCUAAUUACAUACAUAUUUAAAAAAAAAACCCUACAUUUGAUGGUUGUGGAAUUAAUUUCUUUAUUGACCGAUGGGGGAAAUAAUCAGAUUUAAUCUGAUUAUUUUUGGCAUUUUUAGGGUGAAAUUGUAAUUUUUAUUUUGGAGGGGGUAAAAUGGUCAUUUGUUUAAGUUUCCGUUAGUUUUCUUAACGGAUUCCAAACGGAAGUGGAAAAGUGAAACAAAAUGUAACUUUAGGUGGAUUCUAGUAAAAAAAAAAAAAGAAUUGUGUAUUUUUUAAAAAAUUAAAAAAAACGAGUGGACAGUAGCUAUUUUCCCCAAAAUAUUCAAUAACUUAUUGAAAGAAUGAGAGGAAAUCGUUAUCUGUGAUUCCCAAUAAAAAGUAAAAUUGAACACUUUGCAAAUUCGAGAGAAAUGAGUGAGUUAGUCUCCCAUUUGAGCGAUAUAGUAAUGCCUAGAGUUCUGCCGAGACUAAUUCCGAGUGUUGCUCCCACUUACAGGCAGAGAGUUAAACUCAGCACUGUGUAGUUAAAGUGACAAUGGCAUAGUUGAUACGAUAAGUGAUUUAUUGAGGCUUUUAAUAAAUGAUUAAUGGACCACACCCCAGAUAUUAUCAACAGUUACGUACUCUAUUCCCUUCAAUAUUUUUACUGAAAAAAAAAAAGAAUUUGAUGGCUUGAUCUUUUAUCUCAACGAAUUGGAAAUUAAGCAAAAAUUUCUUGCCCAAUCCCAGAAUGUAUCAGUAGCUAACACAAGAACCUCCAUAUCUGAAGUGAACUUAAGGACAUUUGUAUCAGGCUCAGCUAUCAUCCAGUCCUUCAAAGAAGCAAAUCCGAUACUUCUAGAGUAAAAGAAAGUAUCAUUGAAAAGCCAAUCUCUACCUGAGAAGCCGAUAAAUCCCCCGUGAAAACAUAGUAUCCAUGGAAUUAAACCAUAAAAACUGAUGUCAAUUUCAGCUCCUCAUCACUUUUUAAUUUUGACAACACAAAUUAAAAAAGACUAGUACCUUAUCCACAAUCCGCUUGCGUUCAUCCAAAUUGUAUACAUUAUGCGGGGGUGCAAGCGUUUCAGCCACUCCAUCUCUACACAGUACACCUUUACAAUUUCCCAAGUUUGAGACAACAACAUCCUCUCCAUCAAUAAAGGCUGUGACACAGAAGGCACCACAUUCUGGACCCUUUUCCACACGCUUAUCCAGCAUAUCCUUGAAACAAAAUAUUAAGAAACGAACAAUAACGAUAUAUAUUUAGACAGAAAAACAGAACGUUGACAAAUUAAAACUGGUCUGAAAAUUUUCAGUUAUUGAGCCAAUUUUUUUUUUUUUUUUGCUUAAUCUAAAAAGACUGAAUGAUAUCAUUAAAAGAUAUUCUCAAAAAUUUUCUUAUUUAACUAAUUAAUUUCCAUCCUUAUCUAAAUAAAAUUUAACAAUUAGCAUUAUUACCCAUAUUUAUAACUUGUGAAAAUAUAAUAGUAUACUAUUAUUAUUUUUAUCCUUUUAUUUUUCUUCAAAGUAGUAUUAUUUAUCUUCACAAUUUUUUAUGAAUAUUUUUCAUAUAAAAAUAUCAUAAACUAUACUAAUUUAGAAUACAAAGGGUUGCAUUCAAUUGAACAUUAUUUAUAUUAUGAUAAUAUAUUAUCUUAUUUAAGUUCUUAGAAAUGCUUCUUAUUUGUUUAACAUUUCUGCUGUACCGUACAUCCGCCUUGGCCGUACAGCAGUAAUUAAAAAAAUAUUGUAGCCGUUAGCUACAAAAAUAAUCAGAUUUAAUCUAAUUAUUUUGGCAUUUUUUAGGGUGAAUUUGUAAUUUUUGUUUGAUGAAGUACAAAAAAAUCUUAACUACUAGAGAUUAUAACUCAAUGAAUAAUAAAACUCUACUUAUCUUAAAUUCAAUUGAUGGUUUGCGAGAUUGGGCUAUUUCUAAUACUACUGUUAUAAUUUAGCAUUCUAAUUACAUACAUAUUUAAAAAAAAAACCCUACAUUUGAUGGUUGUGGAAUUAAUUUCUUUAUUGACCGAUGGGGGAAAUAAUCAGAUUUAAUCUGAUUAUUUUUGGCAUUUUUAGGGUGAAAUUGUAAUUUUUAUUUUGGAGGGGGUAAAAUGGUCAUUUGUUUAAGUUUCCGUUAGUUUUCUUAACGGAUUCCAAACGGAAGUGGAAAAGUGAAACAAAAUGUAACUUUAGGUGGAUUCUAGUAAAAAAAAAAAAAGAAUUGUGUAUUUUUUAAAAAAUUAAAAAAAACGAGUGGACAGUAGCUAUUUUCCCCAAAAUAUUCAAUAACUUAUUGAAAGAAUGAGAGGAAAUCGUUAUCUGUGAUUCCCAAUAAAAAGUAAAAUUGAACACUUUGCAAAUUCGAGAGAAAUGAGUGAGUUAGUCUCCCAUUUGAGCGAUAUAGUAAUGCCUAGAGUUCUGCCGAGACUAAUUCCGAGUGUUGCUCCCACUUACAGGCAGAGAGUUAAACUCAGCACUGUGUAGUUAAAGUGACAAUGGCAUAGUUGAUACGAUAAGUGAUUUAUUGAGGCUUUUAAUAAAUGAUUAAUGGACCACACCCCAGAUAUUAUCAACAGUUACGUACUCUAUUCCCUUCAAUAUUUUUACUGAAAAAAAAAAAGAAUUUGAUGGCUUGAUCUUUUAUCUCAACGAAUUGGAAAUUAAGCAAAAAUUUCUUGCCCAAUCCCAGAAUGUAUCAGUAGCUAACACAAGAACCUCCAUAUCUGAAGUGAACUUAAGGACAUUUGUAUCAGGCUCAGCUAUCAUCCAGUCCUUCAAAGAAGCAAAUCCGAUACUUCUAGAGUAAAAGAAAGUAUCAUUGAAAAGCCAAUCUCUACCUGAGAAGCCGAUAAAUCCCCCGUGAAAACAUAGUAUCCAUGGAAUUAAACCAUAAAAACUGAUGUCAAUUUCAGCUCCUCAUCACUUUUUAAUUUUGACAACACAAAUUAAAAAAGACUAGUACCUUAUCCACAAUCCGCUUGCGUUCAUCCAAAUUGUAUACAUUAUGCGGGGGUGCAAGCGUUUCAGCCACUCCAUCUCUACACAGUACACCUUUACAAUUUCCCAAGUUUGAGACAACAACAUCCUCUCCAUCAAUAAAGGCUGUGACACAGAAGGCACCACAUUCUGGACCCUUUUCCACACGCUUAUCCAGCAUAUCCUUGAAACAAAAUAUUAAGAAACGAACAAUAACGAUAUAUAUUUAGACAGAAAAACAGAACGUUGACAAAUUAAAACUGGUCUGAAAAUUUUCAGUUAUUGAGCCAAUUUUUUUUUUUUUUUUGCUUAAUCUAAAAAGACUGAAUGAUAUCAUUAAAAGAUAUUCUCAAAAAUUUUCUUAUUUAACUAAUUAAUUUCCAUCCUUAUCUAAAUAAAAUUUAACAAUUAGCAUUAUUACCCAUAUUUAUAACUUGUGAAAAUAUAAUAGUAUACUAUUAUUAUUUUUAUCCUUUUAUUUUUCUUCAAAGUAGUAUUAUUUAUCUUCACAAUUUUUUAUGAAUAUUUUUCAUAUAAAAAUAUCAUAAACUAUACUAAUUUAGAAUACAAAGGGUUGCAUUCAAUUGAACAUUAUUUAUAUUAUGAUAAUAUAUUAUCUUAUUUAAGUUCUUAGAAAUGCUUCUUAUUUGUUUAACAUUUCUGCUGUACCGUACAUCCGCCUUGGCCGUACAGCAGUAAUUAAAAAAAUAUUGUAGCCGUUAGCUACAAAAAUAAUCAGAUUUAAUCUAAUUAUUUUGGCAUUUUUUAGGGUGAAUUUGUAAUUUUUGUUUGAUGAAGUACAAAAAAAUCUUAACUACUAGAGAUUAUAACUCAAUGAAUAAUAAAACUCUACUUAUCUUAAAUUCAAUUGAUGGUUUGCGAGAUUGGGCUAUUUCUAAUACUACUGUUAUAAUUUAGCAUUCUAAUUACAUACAUAUUUAAAAAAAAAACCCUACAUUUGAUGGUUGUGGAAUUAAUUUCUUUAUUGACCGAUGGGGGAAAUAAUCAGAUUUAAUCUGAUUAUUUUUGGCAUUUUUAGGGUGAAAUUGUAAUUUUUAUUUUGGAGGGGGUAAAAUGGUCAUUUGUUUAAGUUUCCGUUAGUUUUCUUAACGGAUUCCAAACGGAAGUGGAAAAGUGAAACAAAAUGUAACUUUAGGUGGAUUCUAGUAAAAAAAAAAAAAGAAUUGUGUAUUUUUUAAAAAAUUAAAAAAAACGAGUGGACAGUAGCUAUUUUCCCCAAAAUAUUCAAUAACUUAUUGAAAGAAUGAGAGGAAAUCGUUAUCUGUGAUUCCCAAUAAAAAGUAAAAUUGAACACUUUGCAAAUUCGAGAGAAAUGAGUGAGUUAGUCUCCCAUUUGAGCGAUAUAGUAAUGCCUAGAGUUCUGCCGAGACUAAUUCCGAGUGUUGCUCCCACUUACAGGCAGAGAGUUAAACUCAGCACUGUGUAGUUAAAGUGACAAUGGCAUAGUUGAUACGAUAAGUGAUUUAUUGAGGCUUUUAAUAAAUGAUUAAUGGACCACACCCCAGAUAUUAUCAACAGUUACGUACUCUAUUCCCUUCAAUAUUUUUACUGAAAAAAAAAAAGAAUUUGAUGGCUUGAUCUUUUAUCUCAACGAAUUGGAAAUUAAGCAAAAAUUUCUUGCCCAAUCCCAGAAUGUAUCAGUAGCUAACACAAGAACCUCCAUAUCUGAAGUGAACUUAAGGACAUUUGUAUCAGGCUCAGCUAUCAUCCAGUCCUUCAAAGAAGCAAAUCCGAUACUUCUAGAGUAAAAGAAAGUAUCAUUGAAAAGCCAAUCUCUACCUGAGAAGCCGAUAAAUCCCCCGUGAAAACAUAGUAUCCAUGGAAUUAAACCAUAAAAACUGAUGUCAAUUUCAGCUCCUCAUCACUUUUUAAUUUUGACAACACAAAUUAAAAAAGACUAGUACCUUAUCCACAAUCCGCUUGCGUUCAUCCAAAUUGUAUACAUUAUGCGGGGGUGCAAGCGUUUCAGCCACUCCAUCUCUACACAGUACACCUUUACAAUUUCCCAAGUUUGAGACAACAACAUCCUCUCCAUCAAUAAAGGCUGUGACACAGAAGGCACCACAUUCUGGACCCUUUUCCACACGCUUAUCCAGCAUAUCCUUGAAACAAAAUAUUAAGAAACGAACAAUAACGAUAUAUAUUUAGACAGAAAAACAGAACGUUGACAAAUUAAAACUGGUCUGAAAAUUUUCAGUUAUUGAGCCAAUUUUUUUUUUUUUUUUGCUUAAUCUAAAAAGACUGAAUGAUAUCAUUAAAAGAUAUUCUCAAAAAUUUUCUUAUUUAACUAAUUAAUUUCCAUCCUUAUCUAAAUAAAAUUUAACAAUUAGCAUUAUUACCCAUAUUUAUAACUUGUGAAAAUAUAAUAGUAUACUAUUAUUAUUUUUAUCCUUUUAUUUUUCUUCAAAGUAGUAUUAUUUAUCUUCACAAUUUUUUAUGAAUAUUUUUCAUAUAAAAAUAUCAUAAACUAUACUAAUUUAGAAUACAAAGGGUUGCAUUCAAUUGAACAUUAUUUAUAUUAUGAUAAUAUAUUAUCUUAUUUAAGUUCUUAGAAAUGCUUCUUAUUUGUUUAACAUUUCUGCUGUACCGUACAUCCGCCUUGGCCGUACAGCAGUAAUUAAAAAAAUAUUGUAGCCGUUAGCUACAAAAAUAAUCAGAUUUAAUCUAAUUAUUUUGGCAUUUUUUAGGGUGAAUUUGUAAUUUUUGUUUGAUGAAGUACAAAAAAAUCUUAACUACUAGAGAUUAUAACUCAAUGAAUAAUAAAACUCUACUUAUCUUAAAUUCAAUUGAUGGUUUGCGAGAUUGGGCUAUUUCUAAUACUACUGUUAUAAUUUAGCAUUCUAAUUACAUACAUAUUUAAAAAAAAAACCCUACAUUUGAUGGUUGUGGAAUUAAUUUCUUUAUUGACCGAUGGGGGAAAUAAUCAGAUUUAAUCUGAUUAUUUUUGGCAUUUUUAGGGUGAAAUUGUAAUUUUUAUUUUGGAGGGGGUAAAAUGGUCAUUUGUUUAAGUUUCCGUUAGUUUUCUUAACGGAUUCCAAACGGAAGUGGAAAAGUGAAACAAAAUGUAACUUUAGGUGGAUUCUAGUAAAAAAAAAAAAAGAAUUGUGUAUUUUUUAAAAAAUUAAAAAAAACGAGUGGACAGUAGCUAUUUUCCCCAAAAUAUUCAAUAACUUAUUGAAAGAAUGAGAGGAAAUCGUUAUCUGUGAUUCCCAAUAAAAAGUAAAAUUGAACACUUUGCAAAUUCGAGAGAAAUGAGUGAGUUAGUCUCCCAUUUGAGCGAUAUAGUAAUGCCUAGAGUUCUGCCGAGACUAAUUCCGAGUGUUGCUCCCACUUACAGGCAGAGAGUUAAACUCAGCACUGUGUAGUUAAAGUGACAAUGGCAUAGUUGAUACGAUAAGUGAUUUAUUGAGGCUUUUAAUAAAUGAUUAAUGGACCACACCCCAGAUAUUAUCAACAGUUACGUACUCUAUUCCCUUCAAUAUUUUUACUGAAAAAAAAAAAGAAUUUGAUGGCUUGAUCUUUUAUCUCAACGAAUUGGAAAUUAAGCAAAAAUUUCUUGCCCAAUCCCAGAAUGUAUCAGUAGCUAACACAAGAACCUCCAUAUCUGAAGUGAACUUAAGGACAUUUGUAUCAGGCUCAGCUAUCAUCCAGUCCUUCAAAGAAGCAAAUCCGAUACUUCUAGAGUAAAAGAAAGUAUCAUUGAAAAGCCAAUCUCUACCUGAGAAGCCGAUAAAUCCCCCGUGAAAACAUAGUAUCCAUGGAAUUAAACCAUAAAAACUGAUGUCAAUUUCAGCUCCUCAUCACUUUUUAAUUUUGACAACACAAAUUAAAAAAGACUAGUACCUUAUCCACAAUCCGCUUGCGUUCAUCCAAAUUGUAUACAUUAUGCGGGGGUGCAAGCGUUUCAGCCACUCCAUCUCUACACAGUACACCUUUACAAUUUCCCAAGUUUGAGACAACAACAUCCUCUCCAUCAAUAAAGGCUGUGACACAGAAGGCACCACAUUCUGGACCCUUUUCCACACGCUUAUCCAGCAUAUCCUUGAAACAAAAUAUUAAGAAACGAACAAUAACGAUAUAUAUUUAGACAGAAAAACAGAACGUUGACAAAUUAAAACUGGUCUGAAAAUUUUCAGUUAUUGAGCCAAUUUUUUUUUUUUUUUUGCUUAAUCUAAAAAGACUGAAUGAUAUCAUUAAAAGAUAUUCUCAAAAAUUUUCUUAUUUAACUAAUUAAUUUCCAUCCUUAUCUAAAUAAAAUUUAACAAUUAGCAUUAUUACCCAUAUUUAUAACUUGUGAAAAUAUAAUAGUAUACUAUUAUUAUUUUUAUCCUUUUAUUUUUCUUCAAAGUAGUAUUAUUUAUCUUCACAAUUUUUUAUGAAUAUUUUUCAUAUAAAAAUAUCAUAAACUAUACUAAUUUAGAAUACAAAGGGUUGCAUUCAAUUGAACAUUAUUUAUAUUAUGAUAAUAUAUUAUCUUAUUUAAGUUCUUAGAAAUGCUUCUUAUUUGUUUAACAUUUAUAAUUCGUAAUGGUACAAAUAAAAAAAUUAUUUUCAGAAUUUUUAAGUUAAAAUAACAAAUAAAUUCAUAUUUAUUUUUAACAAUUCAGAAAAAAAAUGAUUCAGAUUCAGACAUUUAGUUCUAUUCAGAAUUCAAACUAAUUUAUGCAUAUUCGUAUUUCAGUUAAAAAAAAAAAACCUCUAGUUAGCAAUAUGUUUCUGCUCUUUAUCAGCCUAAAUUUAAACCAAAAAAAAAAUCUCUGCACAGCUGCCUAGUCCCUACAUUUAUUAUUGAAAAUAUAUUUGGUCAAGAAUUUACAUUAAAAUUUUAUUUUCAUUUAUUUUAAUUAAUUGUCACUCGCCUUUGACCGAGUGAUAGGUCAUUGCAAUGAUUCGAGUUCUUAUUACUUCCUUUGUAAUGAUAAAAAUUAGGUUAUAAUAUAAUAUUAUCAGUGGUAAAAAAAAUAUUUAAAAAAAAGGAACACAAAAUAUUCGUAUCUACUAACUGCAACUAAUUCUUUUUAAAAAUAAAAAAUAAAAUUCUACACAACCAUAAGAACUCUAGCCAUUUUAUAGAUGUAUAGGGGAGAAAGUGCCACCAACCCAGUUAUAGAAUUAUAGAGUCAUAUUUUUAGAAUUCAUCAAAAUGACGCAACGAUCUAUUAAUCUAUGCUACGAUUAUAUUAAAAUUGGCACAACAAAGUAAUGCAUGCCUAUCCAAAAUAUGGCUGUAUAUUCCCGUGUCUGUUUAUGAUCAAUACCCUUAUACUUUUCUUAUUUAAUGAAUGAUACACAUUUCUGAUUUCUUCCUCAUACCUAAACCAAAAAAAAAAAAGAUGUAGAAUGGCAGAAACAAAUAUGAAAAAAGCACAUUAAUUGUUUUUCAUAAUUACACAAUUAAAGAAUUAAUCUGACUGCUAGCUCCUUAAUUCUGAAACUUCAACGUUGAAAAUUAAUAUAUCAUACUACUAGCCAGCUGGCUAGCAUGAAUUGAUCAGGGGCAUUGCGGAUUUCUUCCAGGGCCUCCAUAGUAAAAAUGUGU
This 10594-nucleotide long non-coding RNA is filed under the name Citrus sinensis (sweet orange). Its description in RNAcentral is "long non-coding RNA (CSIN_LNC002303)". Lineage: Eukaryota; Viridiplantae; Streptophyta; Magnoliopsida; Sapindales; Rutaceae. The record is from RNAcentral.